UACGUAGGGCGCAAGCGUUGUCCGGAAUCAUUGGGCGUAAAGCGCGUGUAGGCGGCUCGAUAAGUCUGCUGUGAAAGUCCAGGGCUCAACCCUGGAAUGCCGGUGGAAACUGUCGAGCUAGAGUCCGGAAGAGGCGAGUGGAAUUCCUGGUGUAGCGGUGAAAUGCGCAGAUAUCAGGAGGAACACCAAUGGCGAAGGCAGCUCGCUGGGACGGUACUGACGCUGAGACGCGAAAGCGUGGGGAGCAAACAGG
RNAcentral lists this ribosomal RNA (253 nucleotides) under uncultured bacterium. Its description in RNAcentral is "partial 16S ribosomal RNA". It matches the Rfam family "Bacterial small subunit ribosomal RNA", at positions 524 to 776 of the family's 1533-position model. The record is from RNAcentral.